UAGGGAAUCUUCGGCAAUGGGGGGAACCCUGACCGAGCAACGCCGCGUGAGUGAAGAAGGUUUUCGGAUCGUAAAGCUCUGUUGUUAAGGAAGAACGAGUGUGAGAGUGGAAAGUUCAUGCUGUGACGGUACUUAACCAGAAAGGGACGGCUAACUACGUGCCAGCAGCCGCGGUAAUACGUAGGUCCCGAGCGUUGUCCGGAUUUAUUGGGCGUAAAGCGAGCGCAGGCGGUUAGAUAAGUCUGAAGUUAAAGGCAGUGGCUCAACCAUUGUAGGCUUUGGAAACUGUUUAACUUGAGUGCAGAAGGGGAGAGUGGAAUUCCAUGUGUAGCGGUGAAAUGCGUAGAUAUAUGGAGGAACACCGGUGGCGAAAGCGGCUCUCUGGUCUGUAACUGACGCUGAGGCUCGAAAGCGUGGGGAGCGAACAGG
RNAcentral lists this ribosomal RNA (429 nucleotides) under Bacteroidota bacterium. RNAcentral's name for it is "Bacteroidetes bacterium partial 16S ribosomal RNA". It matches the Rfam family "Bacterial small subunit ribosomal RNA", at positions 355 to 776 of the family's 1533-position model. The record is from RNAcentral. Lineage: Bacteria; Pseudomonadati; Bacteroidota.